CUGUAAUAGACUUUGGGGCUCAUGGGCCCAUGGACUCCGUGAAAGUGGGAUGAAGAUCGCAAGAUGGCCAUUAAUGACUGAAGUCAAAGACUUCUAACAUGUCAGGGUAGUGCAAGCUUGUUUUACUCCAUUCAGGCUGUCUGGCUCUCUGGCUGUCUCUGUUCUAAAUGCCCUCUGUGUACUGGUAUUGUCAUUCUGUCUUUAGGCUAUGUUAGGGGAGUGGGCCUAUGCAUGAUGUGAACUGGCUGCAUUGUACUUUUGCCAAAUCAUUCCUCUGACCAAAACAUGAUGAUCAUAUAGUGGGAUGUUGUACAAUCAUAAACAUUCACUGAUGAGUUUAUCACAGACUUGGGCAUGUGCACCAUGCACUUUUGGACUAAAACAGAUACAUCAAAUCAAUGUUUUCUCUGCACCAAUUUUUAGGUGAAAAGGUGAAAGGAUUUUCAUUUAUAAAAAAAAUAAUAAUAAUCUUUGGGCAAAAAAAAAAAAAACUUUGUUAGGUUAGCAAAUGCUGUUAUGCUAUUUUUUCAUAACACUAGCUAAGCUUUACGUUUUACGCACCUAAUCGCACUUACUCUUAACAGUAGCUCUAUUUAUAAUGAUGACUUUAGUUGUCAAGGCACAAAUUGCCUCUCUGAGGACUUUAAAGUUUUCUAAGUCUAAGUCUAAGGUAACAAGCCAUUGCUCAAUUUGUCUUUUAUUGAUAUUUUUUGCUAAGUUACUGUGUCCCUUAUCUUUCUGUUUUUGUAUAUUAUAGAGAAUCCAGAUACAGCAGGACAGGAUGAUUUGUGAAAACAGGAAGAAAGUGUGGUCAAUAUUGCGAAAUAAAAGACCCGCCGAAUUGUCUGGACUCCGCCCUUCAGUGACUGCUGCCUCGCGAAGCGACAACGCCAUCUUUUCUUCGAGCGACCGAGACGUUGGUCGUCCUCUCGCCUCUGUUCCCUCCUCGGCCUGGGGUUACUGCGAAUCUGGCGCUGAAGACUGAAGCUGCUAACGUUAUAUUCGAAGCCUCAGAAGACCUUCAAGGAUCCAGUUGACCUCUGAAUCAGCUGUUAAGAAAAUGGGACAGUUAUAUUGCUUCAAUUGGUCUCCUACUUCAUUUGAUUCCACCUUCAUUACAAGGCUGCAAGGGAUCUGGAAAAAUGUCAUCCUGUCAAGCUGAAAAACAUCUUCAAAAAGGCACUAACAAGAACAGCUUGAUUGCAGAGAAGAGACCACACAGCCAUACACGCUCACUGAUGGGACGAUGAGGAACAUCAUUCAUGGAUGCUACACAACUCAAAUCUACACGUCAUAUUUGUUCAUGUCUAGGUAAAUUUGAUGAUUUUGUGUUUUAUUAAUUACUUUGUUUCUGUGCAACACUUAAUGAAUGUGACUGACUAAUUAACCUCUACACAUCUGGUAUAUGCUUUAAAGUUGCCACUUUGCCCAUUUGUUCAAUAAAUGUUGAAAUGUAUACAUCUGUCUGAAGACUUUCCUGAUUUUAUGUCUAUCCUUUUACAUUAACUUUAUUUUUAUCAUAAUUAACAUUAUUUUUUUUGUUUGCACUGAAAAGAGGACAUUAUUAAUUAUGCUUAAAACAACAGCAGAGGUGUUAAAUACCCCAUAGUGUAAAAUUUGAACAGCAAUAGCAUGUGUAACACUUUACACUUGGAGUGUAAUUUUUCUAGACAUUGUUUAAAAUGAAAUGUAAAAUGUGAAAAUGAAAAGGAUUUAAUUAAAUUCUGAUUUUAAUUCAGUGUGUGUUAUAUAUAUAUAUAUAUAUAUAUAUAUAUACCUUUAGAAAUAACUGCAAAUUACAAGCUAAAUACAAAACUUAGUUCUAGAAUUUGCAUUCAGAGAUAGUUUGAC
Cyprinus carpio carpio is the source of this 1851-nucleotide long non-coding RNA. The record is from Ensembl. Lineage: Eukaryota; Metazoa; Chordata; Actinopteri; Cypriniformes; Cyprinidae.